Long non-coding RNA from Scatophagus argus, 288 nucleotides. RefSeq lists it as uncharacterized. The record is from RefSeq and is a predicted model, not a curated record. The transcript has 4 exons. Lineage: Eukaryota; Metazoa; Chordata; Actinopteri; Scatophagidae.
ACUUUCCCUCCUCAUAAAUUCCGUUGCACAAGUGACAAAGUACGGGCCUGGACUUAUGAAAGCUCCCAGCACAGUGUACAGGAGCCGUGUUCCUUGGAGGAAGAAAAGUCAGAGGGGAAUGGGUGCAUUGAGCCUUGUGUGACAACCCAUCAUGAAAAAAAGGAGUUGUACUCUCCUUUAAAAAGGAAGCCGAUUGAAUCCAGGAAGCAUGGUGCCUGUGAUGAAAAGAAGAAACCCAGGGAGGAGAACGUGUCAGAGAUUGAUGUCUGCAAAGCUGAUGGGGUGGGC